RNAcentral lists this ribosomal RNA (253 nucleotides) under uncultured bacterium. RNAcentral describes it as "partial 16S ribosomal RNA". It matches the Rfam family "Bacterial small subunit ribosomal RNA", at positions 524 to 776 of the family's 1533-position model. The record is from RNAcentral.
CACGUAGGAGGCGAGCGUUGUCCGGAAUCAUUGGGCGUAAAGAGCGCGCAGGCGGCUUGGCAAGUCGGGUGUGAAAUCCCGGGGCUCAACCCCGGGACUGCAUUCGAUACUGUCAGGCUAGAGGUAGGUAGGGGAGAUCGGAAUUCCUGGUGUAGCGGUGAAAUGCGCAGAUAUCAGGAGGAACACCGGUGGCGAAGGCGACUACCUGGCCUGUUCUUGACGCUGAGGCGCGAAAGCUAGGGGAGCAAACGGG